UUGAUUGUAGUCAGUUCAUUUUCUGUGUUUGUUCAUGUUUCCACUAAAUACUUUAAAGUAAUGUAUAGUUCAGGUUUUGGAUGAUUUUGAUGAUACAGUUUUUGAUAUUUUAUUUCCAGUGUAGUUUGAUAUAUUUCAGCUCAUUCUGUAUGAUGAUUCUCUCUGUGCUGAUAUGCAUGAGAGGCUUCUUAAAGGGAAGUGAAACAAUGUGUGAGUGAGUGACUGGUGGAGCAGAAAAACCAUCUGACAGAAACUCCUUAAAGGAGAAAAUCAACUCUCACACAGUAAAGGUGUCCAAGUGUCUGCUGCUUGAUUGACAGCUGUGUGGUCCCUGUCCUCUAAGCUGAUUGGUGUCUCCUAGGUGAUGUCCGUCCCACCCUGACGGUGCUGCCCCCCUCCAGUGAGGAGCUGCAGCAGGGGAAGGCCACGCUCAUGUGUCUGGCCAACAAGGGCUUCCCCUCAGACUGGAGUCUGUCCUGGAAGGUGGACGGCAGCAGCAGCAGCAGCAGCAGCAGCAGCUGGGAGGAGAGCAGGAGCCCCGGGGUGCUGAAGGACGGCCACUACAGCUGGAGCAGCACCCUGAGGCUCUCUGCAGACCACUGGAGGAAGGUGGGCUCUGUGACCUGUGAGGCCACCCAGGGCUCCCAGACUCCGCUCUCAGAGACACUGAGGAGAGACCAGUGUUCCCAGUUCUGACCUGACUCACUGGGACUCUGAUACUGGUUUCACUCUGCUACUGCUCUCUGCCUUUUUCUUUUUCUCAUUACAUAUUUGAACAAUAAUGUGUUUUCAGCUCAAUAAUAUUCCUAUGAGACAGUACAACUUCACCAAAGGACUCGACAUGAAAAGUCAGCAGAAUUAACACAUUGUCAUCUUUCACUGCUUGCUGUAAUACUGAUGUUCCAUUAAAGAAUAAAAAUAUAUUCAUCCGA
This is a non-coding RNA of Dicentrarchus labrax (European seabass), 932 nucleotides long. NCBI's taxonomy places the organism in Eukaryota, Metazoa, Chordata, Actinopteri, Moronidae. The record is from the annotation of a RefSeq genome assembly.